This 791-nucleotide ribosomal RNA is filed under the name uncultured Mycobacterium sp. RNAcentral describes it as "bacterial SSU rRNA". It matches the Rfam family "Bacterial small subunit ribosomal RNA", at positions 58 to 850 of the family's 1533-position model. Lineage: Bacteria; Bacillati; Actinomycetota; Actinomycetes; Mycobacteriales; Mycobacteriaceae. The record is from RNAcentral.
CAAGUCGAACGGAAAGGCCUCUUCGGAGGUACUCGAGUGGCGAACGGGUGAGUAACACGUGGGCAAUCUGCCCUGCACUUCGGGAUAAGCCUGGGAAACUGGGUCUAAUACCGGAUAGGACCUUUAGACGCAUGUCUUUUGGUGGAAAGCUUUUGCGGUGUGGGAUGGGCCCGCGGCCUAUCAGCUUGUUGGUGGGGUGAUGGCCUACCAAGGCGACGACGGGUAGCCGGCCUGAGAGGGUGUCCGGCCACACUGGGACUGAGAUACGGCCCAGACUCCUACGGGAGGCAGCAGUGGGGAAUAUUGCACAAUGGGCGCAAGCCUGAUGCAGCGACGCCGCGUGGGGGAUGACGGCCUUCGGGUUGUAAACCUCUUUCACCAUCGACGAAGGUCCGGGUUUUCUCGGAUUGACGGUAGGUGGAGAAGAAGCACCGGCCAACUACGUGCCAGCAGCCGCGGUAAUACGUAGGGUGCGAGCGUUGUCCGGAAUUACUGGGCGUAAAGAGCUCGUAGGUGGUUUGUCGCGUUGUUCGUGAAAUCUCACGGCUUAACUGUGAGCGUGCGGGCGAUACGGGCAGACUAGAGUACUGCAGGGGAGACUGGAAUUCCUGGUGUAGCGGUGGAAUGCGCAGAUAUCAGGAGGAACACCGGUGGCGAAGGCGGGUCUCUGGGCAGUAACUGACGCUGAGGAGCGAAAGCGUGGGGAGCGAACAGGAUUAGAUACCCUGGUAGUCCACGCCGUAAACGGUGGGUACUAGGUGUGGGUUUCCUUCCUUGGGAUCCGUGCCGUA